GCUCCGGCACUUCGCUCUGUGGGAAUAUCAGUGUGGUGACUGCUUACCCGGGGGAAGUGUUCUCAGGGCACGAUUAGGUGAAGGCCAGGGAUAUUUCUGUUCGCCCAUGCAUCCGAGAAAGGAGUGUUAGACCUGACCCUGUUGUUUCUCCCAGCAGUGAGAACGUGGCCAUGGACGAGAAUUCCAAGUAGUGGCACUUCUGUAGACGUCGCGGCCCUUUUGGGGUUACUACUACCCAGGAAACUCACAUGCGACACGGGCGCCAGCUGAAGUCCAUCUAGACCCCCGCAGACCCAAGGUCACAAGUUGAGAACUCCCUGCCGUAGACAUUCUUCUGCACCUAGUGGUGGAGCAGGUGGAGCUGCACCUUGCACCGCCUAUUUGGAGACGGGUUCUGUACAGAUGAGUGUGCCCUGCUGCGAUCCUGCAAUCUUUGAUUGCACUAGAAAGAACCGCAUGGGAUUUAUUCUUCCCUCUUUCAAGAAACCUAAUGAAAUUGGGCUGAGAUUCCAAGGAACUGCUGGAAAAGAGUUAUCAGUACCAGAAUGAAGGAUCCUAGAGGGCAGAGCCCACCGUUCUAUUUAUAGUGUUUGUACAUUUUGAAGAUGAUUUCCAUGGAAGACUGUACAGAGCUACAAACUAGAUGUUGGAAUGGAUUUGAGGAUCCUGCCAGAGACUGAAGAUGCUGGCUCAGAUUUAUCUCAGAAUAGAGUUUGGCUCACCCUGCUUUCAUUCAACAGCUUCACUCAUUUAGACAUAGCAACCCAACUUCACACCCUCCACUCUCACACCGUUAGAAUGACCCUUUGGAACCUCAACUUUUGGCCUGCCUUGCUCCAUCCCCUUUUCACAAGGGCAGGUUUAUUGUCUACUAGCAAUCUUGACUAGGGCCUUGGAAGAGGAUUGGACCUUAUUUACAGUGGUCUAAUGAUCAAAGCAAGUCAUUGUUAAUACAUCAGUGUUACUACCUUGCUAUGCAUGUAACACUGGAAAACAGCAUAGUGCAGUCCAUUUACCAAAACCAAAUCUUCUUACUAGUUGACCAACACCAUGUGGUCCUGAGAAAAAAUGUGUAUAGAACAAUCCCUUACUGCUGUAUAAAACCAUUCCUUGCUUAAGGAUCACCUGCCUUUUGAUGUCUUUACACCAGUGAUUGUCAACUUGGAAUGAUUUUUGCCCCUCCCCUCAUGGGGAUAUUUGACAAUGUAUGGACACAUUUUUUAUUGACACAAUUGGGAGAAUGCUACUGGCAUCUAAUAGGACAGGGCCAAGGAUACUGCUAAACAUCCUUCAGUACACAGACAGCCAUAUACACAAAGAAUUUUCCCAACCAAAGUGUCAAUAGUGCUGACAUUGAGAAACUGCCUUAAAGAAUCUUCAGGUGGGAUUACAUGGGAGGUUCUGUUAGCAGUGGCAAAUCCAUACAGGUCUGCAGCAACCUCAAUUCUUGCCUCCUCAGAAGAAAGAAUUCAAGGAGGCAUUAGGCAAUUCGAAAGACCAAUGCAAGUUUUGGAACAGCAAUAAAAAUUUGUUUAAAAACUUUAGAGAAAGAACAAAAGGAAGGAAAGUCCACUUGGAAGAGGGUCAAGCAGGCGACUUGAAAGACAAGUGAGUGGUUUGACCUUUUGAAUUAGGAUUUUAUAUGUUGACAAACUUCCAGGGCUUGCAUUUUUUUCUCCCCUAAUUCUUCCUUUGGGGUGGGCUGUCUGCAUGUGCAGUUGCCUGCUAGCCCUUGGGAGGGGACCAUGCAUGGUGUGUUUACUGGAGCUGUACACAUGCUCACUUGAGGCGUUCUUCCCUUACCAGUUGAAUGUCCCUAGGAGGCCAUAUACCAGUUCACCUCUGCCAUUUUUCCUCUUAAUGCACAUGCUUGAGCCCACUCAUGCAACUCCUGAGAUCUUAUUGGGAAACUGUUGACUACCAGUUUCAGGUUUUUCCUAUCUGUUGGGAGACUGAAUUUCCCGGGCACUGGCGGCAACCAAUUAUUAUUUUAGAGAGGCAGUUAACAGCUGCCUGACCAUCACCUGAUGGUCACCUGACAUUCUUUGUAGGGGUUCGGGCGAGUGCUCUCCUGCCCUGCUCAUGAUCGACUAUCUACCCACUGUAGCAUUUCUCCCCUCAAGAUUCCAAGACCUCAAUUCUUUGGGAAGAAUGGAUGAUCAGCCUUUCAUAAAUCCCUCCUGCUGAUGGUG
Macaca mulatta (Rhesus monkey) is the source of this 2192-nucleotide non-coding RNA. The record is from RefSeq and is a predicted model, not a curated record. NCBI's taxonomy places the organism in Eukaryota, Metazoa, Chordata, Mammalia, Primates, Cercopithecidae.